This 773-nucleotide ribosomal RNA is filed under the name uncultured bacterium. RNAcentral describes it as "partial 16S ribosomal RNA". It matches the Rfam family "Bacterial small subunit ribosomal RNA", at positions 56 to 823 of the family's 1533-position model. The record is from RNAcentral.
UGCAGUCGAACGCGRCUURGKMKUCRRUCYARYUGAGUGGCRAACGGGUGAGUAACACGUGGGUGACCUACCUUCGAGUGGGGGAUAACGUCCCGAAAGGGACGCUAAUACCGCAURACAUCCUGCCUUUGAACAGGCGGWGAUCAAAGCCGGGGAUCGCAAGACCUGGCGCUUGAUGAGGGGCCCGCGUCUGAUUAGCUAGUUGGUGAGGUAACGGCYCACCAAGGCGACGAUCAGUAUCCGGCCUGAGAGGGCGGACGGACACACUGGGACUGAGACACGGCCCAGACUCCUACGGGAGGCAGCAGUGGGGAAUUGUUCRCAAUGGGCGCAAGCCUGAYGACGCAACGCCGCGUGGAGGAUGAAGGUCUUCGGAUUGUAAACUCCUGUUGCUCGGGACGAAAAGCYUCGACCUAAYACGUCGARGUCUGACGGUACCGAGUGAGGAAGCCCCGGCUAACUCUGUGCCAGCAGCCGCGGUAAUACAGAGGGGGCAAGCGUUGUUCGGAAUUACUGGGCGUAAAGGGCGCGUAGGCGGCCUGCUAAGUCGAACGUGAAAUCCCYGAGCUCAACYCRGGAACUGCGUCCGAUGCUGRYWGGCUUGAAUCCGGGAGAGGGAUGYGGAAUUCCAGGUGUAGCGGUGAAAUGCGUAKAUAUCUGAGGAACACCGGUGGCGAAGGCGACAUCCUGGACCGUAUUGACGCUGAGCGCGAAGCCAGGGACAAACGGAUUAGAUACCCGGUAGUCCUGNCNUAACGAUAAUGCUUGUGUGC